UUGCUUCAGCAGCACAUACACUAAAAUUGAAAUGAUACAGAGAGGAUUAUCACGGCCCUCACACAAGGAUGACGUACAUUCAUGAAGUCUUCCAUAUUUGU
This 101-nucleotide small nuclear RNA is filed under the name Moschus moschiferus (Siberian musk deer). The record is from RNAcentral. Lineage: Eukaryota; Metazoa; Chordata; Mammalia; Artiodactyla; Moschidae.